Molecule: long non-coding RNA, 1486 nt
Organism: Gasterosteus aculeatus aculeatus (three-spined stickleback)
Lineage: Eukaryota; Metazoa; Chordata; Actinopteri; Perciformes; Gasterosteidae
Source: Ensembl
GUGUGUGUGUGUGAGAGAGAGAAAGGAGAUGAUAACCAGCUGAAGCCCUCAGGUUCUCUUGCUCUCCAUCCUUACAGAUGGCAAGGGUUGGGCCAGACCUCACCAUGCCCGGGCUGCGCCCAGCGAUAGCGGCCGCGCGGGGGAGGACAGAUGUUGCCGGCGAACGCUCCCAGAAGACGGAGGCAGCGGCGUCCAGAGGAACCGUUGGUGGAACCUCGCCUCGUCUUCAAUGGACGCCACUGCCCCACUCUCUCUGCCUGUGUGUCUGUGUCUAUGUGGCACGAGGGGGACUGAAGGGUGGCUGCUGAUGGCGGCGCCGAUGGCCAUGGUGACAAUGGCAAUGGUGACGCAAGGGCGGCAGUGGCGGCGCCGCCGCCGCCGCUCACGCAGUUUGCGGCUUAGCUCCCCCCGGGUUCACUGAAAGACUCUCUUCGGUGACGGGUAUUCUUGGGUGGAUAAUACGGAUCACGUUGUUAUUGCUUAAGAAUACGCGUAGUCGAGGAGAGUCCUCUCUUCGCCAAACACCAGCCGCAAUCCCCCCUUCCCCGCCCACCUCUCUCCCACAUACACCCGCCGGCCCACGGAGGACUGUCAGGAUGCCACACACCCCCACCCUCCAGAAAAAACACCCCUUCUUUGAUCUGUACUGCAUUGCAAUGUUCUUUUGCUCUUCCUUGUGACGAUCCAUGGUUGUCCCCUCGUCUGUCCCACCGUGCGUCUUGUCAGUGUGUCUCCGUGGCGACGGUCAGCGUUGUGUUUUUCUGUUUUUUUCUCUGUGUGUGUUGGAUAUGUUGCUUCGAGAUUGUUCUCGGCCUCCGGGAGAAGAACUGGCGGUCCGUCUGACAACUUCUGAUUCUCUGCAUGAGCAGUGUGUGUUAGCACAAUGCUAAGCUAGCAGGACGGCCUGCACACUCAGCAAAAUCUAGUUUCAGCUCAGUCGUUUUUUUCUCAGACUCAGAAUCUCCACUUUCACGUCACAUUCACAUACAACAAACUUUGUGUAUAUUCUGAGGGAUUUAGCUGUUUAUCUUGUCAGUAUAAUCGGAUUUAUGGAGUGAUACAAAAAGAUAUUAACAUUCCCUCUGGAAAAACAGCCGACAAAAUGAAAAGAGUUGAAGCUGGCUUCAUCCAUAUUUCUUCGAUGGAAAUGUAUGCACAUUUUAUAUACUGCAUACUUUAAACGCAAGUUGCCUUAAUUAAUGUAAUGGACAGUAAUCAAACAUGGUUAGGAGUGUCAGGCGUUUAUCACAUCAGCUGAUGUGGUGCUUUAAUGGUGCAGGUUCGAUAUCAGUUUGAGCCAGUUGGGCUGUUGCUCUGGGGACUCGCUCAGUACAGCACGAUAACUAAAUCCAUUUCUUUCAUUUAUAUUAAUCUCUUAAAUUACUGUUCUAUGAUAACUACAUGAAUUGUUUGCUCUAUGUUAUAUAGUUAUAGUUAGAUAAUAUUCAAAGCUGUCAACAGUCUUACAUUUCAGUAUUAAUUAGUU